Long non-coding RNA from Felis catus (domestic cat), 3068 nucleotides. RefSeq lists it as uncharacterized. The record is from RefSeq and is a predicted model, not a curated record. The transcript is spliced from 2 exons. Lineage: Eukaryota; Metazoa; Chordata; Mammalia; Carnivora; Felidae.
AGCUGAAGUCGGACACUUAACCGACUGAGCCCCCAGGAGCCCCACAACCAAAUAGUCCUAAUAACAGUUCUUCUGACACUGAUCCCGUUCAUUUGGAACUUAAUUCUUCACCUACCUUCCCCAGAAUGUCAGGAAAUUACCUUCACUUAUCUCAGUAAAUAAUAUUCAAUAUUCCUCCCACAUGAAAGCUGGUCUUAAGGGACAGGUUCUCUGACUCUCAGCUUGAGCCUUCCACUCUUAGUUUCCACUUUCAAUAAGACAUGGCUUCUUAGUUUCCUUGGGAAAGGUCAAAUGGGGAAGCAAGCUAGCAGCUUGGAGGUGAGCUAUACCUCACGGAAAUCAGAGACUAUGUCACAAUACCAGCCAAUUCCAUGCUGACAGCAGGUGGGGAAGAAAGAACAGAUUCAGGCAGUGGAAGUGGAUGGAGCAAGAGAGUAAGCACCGGUCCCCAAAGGUUGAACACCAAAUAUCUUAGAAAUAUGAAGAAAAAGACAACAGAACUAAUUCUAUGCUUGAUUUAUCAGCGCCAGGUAAAAAAAAGAACCAGUCCUGACAACCCUGUGCAGCUGAGGAGUGAAGACAAGUUUGGCUGCAAAAGAUCCCAGCUCAUCUUCUUAUAGCAAUUUCUGGUCUAAGCAAUGAGCCACCAGCUUCCUGUAGCAAGACUGGGGACCAACUGAAGAACAAGGUCAAAUCCAACAGGUAUAGUAUACUUGGUGGGAAGGAGGUACUUCCUGCCAGUCCUCCAUAGGGUACUGACCCCAGGAGCCAUCACACUAGAAGUAAGGCUCAGUUAGUUUUCAGACUGAAGUUGUUCCGAAGAAAACAAAAGGUACCAGCAAGAGGAAUCUGUGUGAGACACACAGGCAGGAAGCAGAGCUGAGCCACCAGCGACUAGAAUAGAAACAGGAAAUGGGCCCAGGAACAAGCAUACAGUAAUGUGCUGCAAGCAGCACAGGCUCCGGCAGGCACCAGGCAGUAUCAGGGCCGGAGCAGCGUGACUGGGAUGGAGAAGCAGAUUGGCUAGCCCUGCCAGAGAACAGGCGUUCUAGAGAAGGGGCGGCUACUUGCACAUGGUACACGCCGCUCUGAGCAGUCUGGGCAGAUAUGACGGAGGGGGUGGGGAUUUCCUUUCUGAGACUUUUUGAGAGCACCUGGGCUACAAUUCAAGGGGAGCAAGCACACACAGUCAGAUAUAAAGAAAACAGGUCACCAACCUCAGAAAAGCCCAGCUUCUCUGAGUACCGAAAGUGCUAGUGGCAUUUUUGUCAGCCCCUUGAAAAUAAGCCAUCAAAAGCCUAGGCAAAAACUGUUGGCCUGUUUCCUUUCACCAUGAAAUGUGACAAAAGGCAACACGGUGUAAAAUUUUAAUCCUUCAAGCAUUCCAAUUUUUUUAAGCCUUCAGAGGAUUUCUGUCACUCCCCCCAGUAAACACAGAUGACAAAACGCUGGCCCCCGAGCUCACGUGGGCAGCAGGAGCCCAGGGCUGCUCAGCACAGGUGUACCGAGGAGCUGCCUCGCACAGGUGCUACACGCAGACCUGGUCCCUGAGCAGAGGUCCCAGGCCACCAUGAAGAAAUCAGGGGAAAAGUCCCAGAGAACGUAUUGCAGCUAGGUUUUGAAGCCAAAGUAGGAGUUUGCCAGGCAUUAAAGAGAGAGACAGGGAAGGUGACUGGGCAGUCAUCGGAAGCAAGAAGACACUGGCAGGAAGGACUGGGAGUUGUGAGGAGUUUGAGGCACACCUGAGUGGCUGGGGACGAGGCUACACAGGUAUGCUGGGAGCUGUGGCUGGUCCCACAAUGGGGUCUGGCCUGUAGGCAUGGAGAGCCAGGGCCCCCAAAGCACCACAAAACAACGGGUGGUGGUCUUCCAUUCCCACCCCACACACUCAGAGAUUAUUUACAGUUUACUGGACACAGUCAGUAAAAUUCAUGUAUUCCAAAGUGCCCAAGCUUGUCAUUUCAUUUGAAAAUUUUACUCUCAGUUCUCAGGGUCUAACUCCUUGCUGCUGCUGCUUCUUUUCUUUUAAUGUUUAUUUAUUUAUUUAGAGAGAGAGAAAGAAAGAGGCAGAGAGAGGCAGGAGAGACAGAUUAUCCCAAGAAGGCUCUGCACUGUCAGCAUAGAGCCAGACUCAGGGCUCAAUCUCAGGAACCAUGAGAUCAUGACCUGAGCCAAAAUCCGGAGUCAACCAGACGUUCAACCGACUGAGUUACUCAGGAGUCCCCCAACUCCUUGUUUCUAAACCAUUAGCUAAAUGAAUCACCUGGGGAUCUUGUUAACAGUGUUGGAUUCAAUAAAGCUGGGUGGGACCCAAGAACCUGCAUUUCUAAGCAAUUUCCCGGGUGAUGCCUGUGUUGCUAGAUACAGGACCACAUUUUUUCAGUAGCAAGGCUCUGAUUAACAUCACCAUUAAUCAGGACACUGUUCUCUAAGAAGAAAGGCACAAACAGGGUUUGCUCCCAUCUAAGUCAAGGGGAACAAAAGAACCAAAUUUGAGUCAACUUCCCACUGUUUGAGGCGAUUCCCUAGUUGGUUACUUCCUCCAGCAACCCUGCGCCCUAUCAAUUUGGGCAUGUUCCCUCUCCCACCCCUCCCUGCCCCCCCAGCUGCCCUUUUCACAACUCAUCUGUGCUCCAUGACAAGGAGGUCUGGAAAAACAGAAGUGAAAUGGCAAUUCUUUCAGGACAAGCCUGGUAAAUGUUAAACGACAAAGGGGUUGAGGCUUCUGGUUAAACUUGAAGAGAGAAAUUCAGAUUCUCCAAGCCUUUCUUCUGCUGUGUGGGAUGCUAGAGGAAAUAUUUCAUCUGAAAUAUCAGAGAGAGCUGGAUUCAAAUCCUAGUUCUGACCCUUAGUUUCUUCUAACAUAAAAAAGGAGUGGUUACUCAUUACAUUUCAAUUCCUGCUCUUCUAGGAUUGGUAUUGCCUAUAGCUCCUUUCCUGGCCUCACUCCUACCGUCUUAAGAUCUGGAUGCUACAGAAACAACGUAGUUCCCUCCCAUUUCGUCUUUCUAGAUCACUGUAACCCAAGCUCCCAGCAGUCUGACAGUAGUAAAACAUGAGUGCUAAUA